Molecule: long non-coding RNA, 634 nt
Filed under: Homo sapiens (human)
Lineage: Eukaryota; Metazoa; Chordata; Mammalia; Primates; Hominidae
Description: HSALNT0034893
Source: RNAcentral
GCCCUUUUCACUUUCACAGCUCCUCCGUUUCCAUCUUGUAUUUUUCUCCCUCAUCAUUACUCCUUCUCCCACAUCCACCCCACCCACUUCCCACCUCAUUCAUUCUCAUCAGAAGGAAAACAGCCACUGAAUUCAAAUGCCAUAAUCAGUGGUGGCCCCUGCAGGAAACAAAUCAAGCACCGGAGUACUCAGCACUCAACAGCGGAAAGAUUUUCCUUCUGGAGGGAAUAUUUCACAGCUGUUGAAGAAUCAAGGCUUCUGAACCAGCCUGAGUUUACAUGUGCUACCAGGAGAACCAGCAUUGGUCUGUUUGCCUGUCUCAGGGAUCAGCUGCCCUCGUGGUCACUCUGCUCAGGCAGAGUGGAUCCGAAAUGAAAUGCUUUUUAUCGCUACUUCUCAGCCCUUGAUUAAAUAAUUGUCAACUCUCAUAUGCAGAGUGUAAGAACUUCAGCUUUCUCCAACCCCAGUGGAGCACGUGCCUUUUGUUUUUUCUUCAACCAAACACACAAAGGUGGAAAAUUAAUAAGAGAUUGUAUUUUGCAGUUUGUUGAUAAAACGUCCAGAGGUAAAUCCCCAGACUUUCCAUCAUGGCAGAGCCUUACAUACGUCUGUCAAGCUAGUAAAUCUCCUUAGA